Molecule: non-coding RNA, 409 nt
Organism: Octodon degus (degu)
Lineage: Eukaryota; Metazoa; Chordata; Mammalia; Rodentia; Octodontidae
Source: the annotation of a RefSeq genome assembly
CAUGGAAUUCCUGCUGCUGCUCCUCUGCCUGGUGGCAUAUCCAUGCUGUGUCCUGUCCCAGGUGCAGCUGCAGGAGUCAGGACCUGGUCUAGUGAAGCCCUCAGAGACCCUGUCCCUCACUUGCACAAUCUCUGGAUUUUCUGUAACUGAAUAUAUUGCAGGCUGGAUUCGUCAGGCACCAGGAAAGGGGCUGGAGUGGAUGGGUAUCAUAUGGAGUGGUGGAAAUACAAAUUAUAACCCAGCCCUAAAAUCACGACUGAACAUCGGCAGGGACACCUCCAAGAAUCAACUUUCCUUAACACUGAGCAGCCUGAAGACUGAGGACACGGCCAUGUAUUACUGUGCAAGAUACACAAUGAGGAGCCCUCAGCAUGAGCCCAAUCAUAAACCUCCCAGCGGUGGUCUCUAA